UGGCACCUCGAUGUCGGCUCGUCGCAUCCUGGGGCUGGAGUAGGUCCCAAGGGUUGGGCUGUUCGCCCAUUAAAGCGGUACGCGAGCUGGGUUUAGAACGUCGUGAGACAGUUCGGUCCCUAUCCGCUGCGCGCGUAGGAAGUUUGAGAGGAUCUGACCCUAGUACGAGAGGACCGGGUUGGACGAACCUCUGGUGUGUCAGUUGUUCCGCCAGGAGCACCGCUGAUUAGCUACGUUCGGGAUGGAUAACCGCUGAAAGCAUCUAAGCGGGAAGCCGGCCUCAAGAUGAGACUUCCAUACCCCUUGUGGGUGAGAGGCUCCCAGCCAGAUUACUGGGUUGAUAGGCAGGAUGUGGAAGAGGGGACUAAAGACCCUUGCAGCUGACCUGUACUAAUAAGCCGAUGACUUGACAAC
RNAcentral lists this ribosomal RNA (414 nucleotides) under Microcella sp. RNAcentral describes it as "partial 23S ribosomal RNA". It matches the Rfam family "Bacterial large subunit ribosomal RNA", at positions 2519 to 2925 of the family's 2925-position model. The record is from RNAcentral. Lineage: Bacteria; Bacillati; Actinomycetota; Actinomycetes; Micrococcales; Microbacteriaceae.